UAGUACAGCAAUUUACAUAGUCACUUUUGUCACAUUGUUCAGUUAGUUUAUGAUGACAACAAUCAAUGGCGGAGCCAGGGGGUGGCCGGGGGUGGCCACGGCCACCCCCCGUAGAAUCUCGGCCACCCCAAGCACCACAUCAGAGCGGUUAAAAGUUUUGACGGCUGUGGAAAAAUGCGGAACCUUUCUCGCACCGCUAGUACACUGUUGGACCCUUUAGCCACGCGCAGCGCGCACACAUCCUGUAUUUGAAUUAAACGGCUCAAGCAUGGCCUGAGAAUGCCUGUUACCACCUGACGCUUCGACCGGCACCUGCGGCUAAGUGAAGAAACCCAAAACAGAAAGAUGUUUCUGAAAGAUUGAUUGAGAGCAGGACAGAAGAGUCCUCCCUGAGGAGUGGCCCCAGUGGAUCCCCAGGGAUGAACUUCCUGCCAAAAGAAAUGCUAGUGGGCAUCUCAGAGCAGUUUGUUAAGCCAAGGAGACACACCGGUUCUU
Molecule: long non-coding RNA, 495 nt
Organism: Hypomesus transpacificus
Lineage: Eukaryota; Metazoa; Chordata; Actinopteri; Osmeriformes; Osmeridae
Exons: 3
Source: RefSeq, a predicted model, not a curated record